AGACCCGAAACCCGGUGAUCUAGCCAUGGGCAGGUUGAAGGUUGGGUAACACUAACUGGAGGACCGAACCGACUAAUGUUGAAAAAUUAGCGGAUGACCUGUGGCUGGGGGUGAAAGGCCAAUCAAACCGGGAGAUAGCUGGUUCUCCCCGAAAGCUAUUUAGGUAGCGCCUCGUGAAUUCAUCUCCGGGGGUAGAGCACUGUUUCGGCUAGGGGGCCAUCCCGGCUUACCAACCCGAUGCAAACUGCGAAUACCGGAGAAUGUUAUCACGGGAGACACACGGCGGGUGCUAACGUCCGUCGUGAAGAGGGAAACAACCCAGACCGCCAGCUAAGGUCCCAAAGUCAUGGUUAAGUGGGAAACGAUGUGGGAAGGCCCAGACAGCCAGGAUGUUGGCUUAGAAGCAGCCAUCAUUUAAAGAAAGCGUAAUAGCUCACUGGUCGAGUCGGCCUGCGCGGAAGAUGUAACGGGGCUAAACCAUGCACCGAAGCUGCGGCAGCGAACGUAUCACUUAAAGCGAUUCAGCGGGUUACGAUUGACGGAGCGAAGCGACGUCAAAGCGUAUACAAAGUCGAGUCGGUUUAAGGAUACGUUCGUUGGGUAGGGGAGCGUUCUGUAAGCCUGUGAAGGUGUGUCGUGAGGCAUGCUGGAGGUAUCAGAAGUGCGAAUGCUGACAUAAGUAACGAUAAAGCGGGUGAAAAGCCCGCUCGCCGGAAGACCAAGGGUUCCUGUCCAACGUUAAUCGGGGCAGGGUGAGUCGACCCCUAAGGCGAGGCCGAAAGGCGUAGUCGAUGGGAAACGGGUUAAUAUUCCCGUACUUGGUGUUACUGCGAAGGGGGGACGGAGAAGGCUAUGUUGGCCGGGCGACGGUUGUCCCGGUUUAAGCGUGUAGGCUGGUUUUCCAGGCAAAUCCGGAAAAUCAAGGCUGAGGCGUGAUGACGAGGCACUACGGUGCUGAAGCAACAAAUGCC
RNAcentral lists this ribosomal RNA (971 nucleotides) under Salmonella enterica subsp. enterica serovar Infantis. Its description in RNAcentral is "partial 23S ribosomal RNA". It matches the Rfam family "Bacterial large subunit ribosomal RNA", at positions 711 to 1601 of the family's 2925-position model. The record is from RNAcentral. Lineage: Bacteria; Pseudomonadati; Pseudomonadota; Gammaproteobacteria; Enterobacterales; Enterobacteriaceae.